GAGGCAGCCAGUGGGGGAAUAUUGGGACAAUGGGGGGAAAGCCUGAUCCAGCAAUGCCGCGUGGAUGAAGAAAGGUCUUCGGAUUGUAAAGUCCUUUUGGGCGGGGGACGAUGAUGACGGUACCCGCAGAAUAAGCUCCGGCUAACUUCGUGCCAGCAGCCGCGGUAAUACGAAGGGGGCUAGCGUUGCUCGGAAUGACUGGGCGUAAAGGGCGCGUAGGCGGACGGCACAGUCAGGCGUGAAAUUCCUGGGCUCAACCCGCGGACUGCGUCUGAGACGUGUUGUCUUGAGUAUGGAAGAGGGUUGUGGAAUUUCCAGUGUAGAGGUGAAAUUCGUAGAUAUUGGAAAGAACACCGGUGGCGAAGGCGGCAACCUGGUCCAUUACUGACGCUGAGGCGCGAAAGCGUGGGGAGCAAACAGGAUUAGAUACCCUGGUAGUCCACGCUGUAAACGAUGUGUGCUGGAUGUUGGGGUGCUUAGCACUUCAGUGUCGUAGCUAAC
RNAcentral lists this ribosomal RNA (501 nucleotides) under uncultured Acidiphilium sp. Its description in RNAcentral is "bacterial SSU rRNA". It matches the Rfam family "Bacterial small subunit ribosomal RNA", at positions 345 to 856 of the family's 1533-position model. Lineage: Bacteria; Pseudomonadati; Pseudomonadota; Alphaproteobacteria; Acetobacterales; Acidocellaceae. The record is from RNAcentral.